UGUCUUUAUCCAGGUGAACUCGCAGUGUG
RNAcentral lists this small RNA (29 nucleotides) under Bombyx mori (domestic silkworm). Its description in RNAcentral is "ovarian small RNA-9082". Lineage: Eukaryota; Metazoa; Arthropoda; Insecta; Lepidoptera; Bombycidae. The record is from RNAcentral.